GUGAAUCAUCGAAUCUUUGAACGCACAUUGCACUUUCUGGUAUUCCGGAAAGUAUGCCUGUUUGAGGGUCAGAUAAAUCAAAAUCGGUUUUGUUGCUGCUUUUCGUGGUGACGCGUCGGAACUCAGUCGUCUUACCUUAGGUUAAGUGACUUACAAUUUUGCAUGAUUUUCGAACGUAUUUCAAUUUCUUCCGUACGUUUGAGAUCUCGCCUACUUUAUUAGGUUCGGUCAUCCUCAUGAUUCGCA
This 246-nucleotide unclassified non-coding RNA is filed under the name Glomus sp. RNAcentral describes it as "partial contains 5.8S ribosomal RNA and internal transcribed spacer 2". The stretch from base 1 to 71 matches the Rfam family "5.8S ribosomal RNA", at positions 84 to 154 of the family's 154-position model. The record is from RNAcentral. Lineage: Eukaryota; Fungi; Glomeromycota; Glomeromycetes; Glomerales; Glomeraceae.